This is an RNA transcript of Vigna umbellata (rice bean), 1049 nucleotides long. It is a transcript of the gene named homeobox protein LUMINIDEPENDENS-like, with no coding region annotated. The record is from RefSeq and is a predicted model, not a curated record. Lineage: Eukaryota; Viridiplantae; Streptophyta; Magnoliopsida; Fabales; Fabaceae.
UUUCUUUUCUUUUUCGUACAAUAUUUCUCUUCUCCUCUAUUGUGCAAUUUUUAUUUUCGUUCUCACUCCUUCCCGUUCUCCCUCCUUCGUUCUCUUUCAUUCUCCGAGCCAAACCCUAACCAGUUCCGUUCCGAACUGAAAACCAGAGAGAAACACUGAGAUUCAUUCAAUCACCUUAACUUAAAUGCGUGUAAUUACGCAUUGCGUCGAGGGAACUUCGAUCUUCGAUAUCAACGAUGGAUGCGUGGACCGAAGAUUUUGUGGAGCAGGAGAUUGAGAACUCCGCAGAAUCGUUCCAUAAGUUUUUGCUUUCGCAGAGAGAUCUCUUGCACAACUAGAUCGAUCAGUUUGAGGAAAUCGUCGUCACGCAAUGCAAACUCACCGGCGUCAACCCUCUCUCUCAAGAAAUGGCAGUUGAUGCUUUUUUUUGCAGGCUUGUACACAAUUAUACUCUUUGUUUCAUAUUGAAUGUCUCUGACUUAAUCCAAAUUUGCAGGAAGAAAAACCUAGGGAUUUAUUGAAUCCAAAGCCUGACCUAGAUGAUUCAGAUAAACAUUUUGUUGUUAAUAUUUUUAGUUUAAUGCAACAAGAAGAGACAUUUUUCGGGCAAGAGAAAUUGAUGGAGUAGAUAUUGACGAUACAAAAUUUUUCAAUAUUGUUGUGGUUUUUUAGCAGAGGCGGUGGAAUAACUUUAGCUACUUGGUUGAGUAAGACAAUUGCUAAGGAGCAAACCAGUGUCCUUCUUCUUAUCUUGAAGGUUCUUUGUCCUUUGCCUUUACAUAAAGCCAUUCCCAUGCACAUAUCAGCUAUAUUGCAGAGUGUAAAUAAACUUCGGUUCUACAGGACAUGAGACAUAUCAAACAGGGUAAGGAUUUUGUUAUCAAAGUGGAACAAAUUAUUAGCGAGGAACCAAGUAAUAAAGAAGCCCAAUGGUGUUAGGCCUUCUAGUGAUGGGCAUAAAGAGUUGAUUUCUCAGAGGCAAGCUUGCAUUCUCUUUUCCAUGAACAAUUUGUUUAGACAUUCUUUCUCAAUUAUUAUGGUUUCUACUU